ACGAACGCUGGCGGCGUGCUUAACACAUGCAAGUCGAACGAUGACGACCGAGCUUGCUCGGUCUGAUUAGUGGCGAACGGGUGAGUAACACGUGAGCAACCUGCCCUUCACUCUGGGAUAACCUCGGGAAAUCGGGGCUAAUACCGGAUAUGAGCUCCUGUCGCAUGGCGGGUGUUGGAAAGUUUUUCGGUGAAGGAUGGGCUCGCGGCCUAUCAGUUUGUUGGUGAGGUAGUGGCUCACCAAGGCGAUGACGGGUAGCCGGCCUGAGAGGGCGACCGGCCACGCUGGGACUGAGACACGGCCCAGACUCCUACGGGAGGCAGCAGUGGGGAAUAUUGCACAAUGGGCGAAAGCCUGAUGCAGCGACGCCGCGUGAGGGAUGACGGCCUUCGGGUUGUAAACCUCUUUCAGCAGGGAAGAAGCGAAAGUGACGGUACCUGCAGAAGAAGCGCCGGCUAACUACGUG
This 466-nucleotide ribosomal RNA is filed under the name uncultured bacterium. RNAcentral's name for it is "partial 16S ribosomal RNA". It matches the Rfam family "Bacterial small subunit ribosomal RNA", at positions 29 to 507 of the family's 1533-position model. The record is from RNAcentral.